AAGAAACCAACAGGGAUUGCCCCAGUAGCGGCGAGUGAAGCGGCAAGAGCUCAGAUUUGAAAUCGUGCUAAUUUUUUUGGCACGAGUCGUAGAGUGUAGGCGGGAGUCUUUGUGGAGCACGGUGUCCAAGUCCCUUGGAACAGGGCGCCUGAGAGGGUGAGAGCCCCGUGGGGUGCCGUGCGAAGCUUUGAGGCCCUGCUGACGAGUCGAGUUGUUUGGGAAUGCAGCUCCAAGUGGGUGGUAAAUUCCAUCUAAGGCUAAAUAUUGGCGAGAGACCGAUAGCGAACAAGUACUGUGAAGGAAAGAUGAAAAGCACUUUGAAAAGAGAGUGAAACAGCACGUGAAAUUGUUGAAAGGGAAGGGUAUUGGGCUCGACAUGGGGGGUGCGCACCGCUGUCUCUUGUAGGCGGCGCUCUGGGCGCCCUCUGGGCCAGCAUCGGUUCCUGCUGCGGGAGAAGGGGCUCCGGAAAGUGGCUCUUCGGAGUGUUAUAGCCGGGGCCAGAUGCCGCGUGUGGGGACCGAGGACUGCGGCUUCUGUCUCGGAUGCUGGCAUAACGGCGCAAUACCGCCCGUCUUGAAACACGGACC
This 588-nucleotide ribosomal RNA is filed under the name Pichia membranifaciens. RNAcentral's name for it is "eukaryotic LSU rRNA". It matches the Rfam family "Eukaryotic large subunit ribosomal RNA", at positions 59 to 667 of the family's 3401-position model. RNAcentral also lists the same sequence under 1 other name. Lineage: Eukaryota; Fungi; Ascomycota; Pichiomycetes; Pichiales; Pichiaceae. The record is from RNAcentral.